GAUCUUUUCAGUUCUGCUUCCGAAUGGGCUUGCCCUUGUGGACAACCAUACCAAGCUU
Molecule: small nucleolar RNA, 58 nt
Filed under: Malassezia sympodialis ATCC 42132
Lineage: Eukaryota; Fungi; Basidiomycota; Malasseziomycetes; Malasseziales; Malasseziaceae
Description: small nucleolar RNA snR61
Source: RNAcentral